UCUUAUGGUGGCCAUGCGCAGGGCGCCCUCGGGCGCGCCGGAUUUUCCAUAUGGGCCGGUCUACCAACCUUCGUAUGGCCACCACCUUU
RNAcentral lists this non-coding RNA (89 nucleotides) under Pseudomonas helmanticensis. RNAcentral also lists the same sequence under 1 other name. Lineage: Bacteria; Pseudomonadati; Pseudomonadota; Gammaproteobacteria; Pseudomonadales; Pseudomonadaceae. The record is from RNAcentral.